CGGGAAACGAGUGGAAGACUCGUGCUGCCCCGCAGCCGUGAGGGGAACGACCGUCCGAUAGGCCACUGGCGCCCGAGGUGCCGGGAAGGCGGACCAGUAGGGGGCCCCGAGCCGGAAGACCG
Molecule: non-coding RNA, 122 nt
Filed under: Deltaproteobacteria bacterium
Lineage: Bacteria; Pseudomonadati; Myxococcota; Myxococcia
Source: RNAcentral